UAAAAUUCAAAUACAACUCUCAUAGUUUUACAAUUUCUCACUUUAGUAUCAUAUGAUUUAAAAUGUAUCAAGUUAGUAUACUAUAAUUUUAUUUUAAUUUUUUCGUCAAUUUUUUCGUUAAUAUUUUGUUAAAUUAUAUACAAAAAAAACUUCAGAUACCCCACCUUGGUUUAUCAAAUAUUUAUUUUAGUACUCUUUAAUUUUAGCUUUAUCAUUGAUUUAACGAAAAAAAAUUAGUGGAAUCGAUAAUAAAAACAUAAAAAUGAAACCAAAAAGUACUAAAUUGAUACACUUUAAACCAUAAAGUAUUAAAGUAAGAAAGUAUGAAAUCAUACAAAUGAUAUUUAAAGUUUUUUCUUUAAUUUUUGAGUGAUUGAAGUGUUUUUAUCUUAUGAUGGUCAGAACUAAAC
RNAcentral lists this long non-coding RNA (410 nucleotides) under Ananas comosus (pineapple). RNAcentral describes it as "long non-coding RNA (ACOM_LNC004207)". The record is from RNAcentral. Lineage: Eukaryota; Viridiplantae; Streptophyta; Magnoliopsida; Poales; Bromeliaceae.